This 786-nucleotide ribosomal RNA is filed under the name uncultured fungus. Its description in RNAcentral is "eukaryotic LSU rRNA". The stretch from base 340 to 493 matches the Rfam family "5.8S ribosomal RNA". Lineage: Eukaryota; Fungi. The record is from RNAcentral.
UGGAUUUUUUUGUUUUGGCAAGAGCAUGANAGCUUUUACUGGGCAAGAAGACAGGAGAUGGAGAGUCCAGCCGGGCCUGCGCUUAAGUGCGCGGUCUUGCUAGGCUUGUAAGUUUCUUUCUUGCUAUUCCAAACGGUGAGAGAUUUCUGUGCUUUUGUUAUAGGACAAUUAAAACCGUUUCAAUACAACACACUGUGGAGUUUUCAUAUCUUUGCAACUUUUUCUUUGGGCAUUCGAGCAAUCGGGGCCCAGAGGUAACAAACACAAACAAUUUUAUCUAUUCAUUAAAUUUUUGUCAAAAACAAGAAUUUUCGUAACUGGAAAUUUUAAAAUAUUAAAAACUUUCAACAACGGAUCUCUUGGUUCUCGCAUCGAUGAAGAACGCAGCGAAAUGCGAUACGUAAUGUGAAUUGCAGAAUUCCGUGAAUCAUCGAAUCUUUGAACGCACAUUGCGCCCCUUGGUAUUCCAGGGGGCAUGCCUGUUUGAGCGUCAUUUCCUUCUCAAACAUUCUGUUUGGUAGUGAGUGAUACUCUUUGGAGUUAACUUGAAAUUGCUGGCCUUUUCAUUGGAUGCUUUUUUUCCAAAGAGAGGUUUCUCUGCGUGCUUGAGGUAUAAUGCAAGUACGGUCGUUUUAGGUUUUACCAACUGCGGCUAAUCUUUUUUUAUACUGAGCGUAUUGGAACGUUAUCGAUAAGAAGAGAGCGUCUAGGCGAACAAUGUUCUUAAAGUUUGACCUCAAAUCAGGUAGGAGUACCCGCUGAACUUAAGCAUAUCAAUAAGCGGAG